Molecule: long non-coding RNA, 620 nt
Filed under: Bos mutus (wild yak)
Lineage: Eukaryota; Metazoa; Chordata; Mammalia; Artiodactyla; Bovidae
Description: lncRNA (ENSBMUG00000014233.1)
Source: RNAcentral
CAGGGCCUCUGCCUCUGCCGCCCCCACCUGCAUGGCCGCCGCUGCCAGGAACUCCAGUCUGGGUACUUCUGCGCCACCCUCGACCAGGCCACUGCCGAAGCAGAGCAUGGCCGCAGCCUCCAGCCUGCUGACCCCCAGCUGCCUGGAGCCCCCUGGCCUGCUCCCCGCUACUGUACACCAGCCCCAGGGACCUCCCCUGGUUGGCUCGGGCCCCGACUUUGGAGACAGCGUGACCCUGACUGUGUCCUCCAACGUGCCAGGCAAGCCCGGUACAGCCACCAGCUGCCCAGGACCCCAGGGAAGCCCCCGCCCCUGCAUCAGGGAUCUGGCUUUGCACUGGGGAGGGGCUCAGACUUCGCACGUGUGGUGGACGGGGCUGGCCUCUCUCUGCUGGCACCCACAGUGCCUCGCGCCCUGGACUAUGACAUCGUCCUACGCUAUGAGACCCAGGCACCUGAAGUGUGGCAGGCAUUAGUCCGGGUCCGUGCCCAGUCACAGCCCCGUAGUACCCGCUGUGCCCGUCCGUUGCCCUCAGAGCAGCUGUUCCAGGCGACCUUGACCCAUGCGCGCAGGUAGGGGGAACCCUGUGACCCCCAAACCAAGACUCUAUUAUGUAGCCA